CUUGGUCAUUUAGAGGAAGUAACGGUCGUAACAAGGUUUCCGUAGGUGAACCUGCGGAAGGAUCAUUCUUGUUGUUGUAGCUUACGCUACUACUUAUUAUGUACACUGUUACUCGCCAUUUGGCGGCCGCAAGGUCGUCAUCUGGCUUACUUUUUAUAUACCUCUCUAACAACCUUAUACCACCAAACUAAGUUUGAGAAAACUUCUAGCAAUGGAUCUCUAGGCUCUCGCAUCGAUGAAGAUCGCAGCAAACUGCGAAAUGUAGUGUGAAUUGCAGACCGUGAAUCAUCGAAUCUUUGAACGCACAUUGCACCGUCUGGAAUCCCGGACGGUAUAUCUGUUUGAGUAUAGUAACUAAUCAUCAACUAUGAGUGUGAAAACACUUAAUGGGAGAUGAAAUUGGGAUUUUGCGGCUUGCCACAUAUCCUUAAACGUAGCAACACAAUCUUAGGCAAUCCGCAAGGAAUGCUAAAAGAACCUGUAUUGCAUAUAUUUAUAAUAAAGCUAUUUUAGCUUUGAAAACCUAUCUCAAAUCAGGUAAGAUCACCCGCUGAACUUAAGCAUAUCAAUAAGCGGAGGA
This 580-nucleotide ribosomal RNA is filed under the name uncultured fungus. RNAcentral describes it as "eukaryotic LSU rRNA". The stretch from base 201 to 351 matches the Rfam family "5.8S ribosomal RNA". The record is from RNAcentral. Lineage: Eukaryota; Fungi.